RNAcentral lists this ribosomal RNA (401 nucleotides) under uncultured bacterium. Its description in RNAcentral is "bacterial SSU rRNA". It matches the Rfam family "Bacterial small subunit ribosomal RNA", at positions 355 to 773 of the family's 1533-position model. The record is from RNAcentral.
UGGGGAAUAUUGCACAAUGGGGGAAACCCUGAUGCAGCGACGCCGCGUGGAGGAAGAAGGUCUUCGGAUUGUAAACUCCUGUUGUUGGGGAAGAUAAUGACGGUACCCAACAAGGAAGUGACGGCUAACUACGUGCCAGCAGCCGCGGUAAAACGUAGGUCACAAGCGUUGUCCGGAAUUACUGGGUGUAAAGGGAGCGCAGGCGGGAAGACAAGUUGGAAGUGAAAUCUAUGGGCUCAACCCAUAAACUGCUUUCAAAACUGUUUUUCUUGAGUAGUGCAGAGGUAGGCGGAAUUCCCGGUGUAGCGGUGGAAUGCGUAGAUAUCGGGAGAACACCAGUGGCGAAGGCGGCCUACGUGGGCACCAACUGACGCUGAGGCUCGAAAGUGUGGGUAGCAAAC